AUUGAACGCUGGCGGCAUGCCUUACACAUGCAAGUCGAACGGCAGCACGGGAGCAAUCCUGGUGGCGAGUGGCGAACGGGUGAGUAAAGUAUCGGAACGUGCCCAGUCGUGGGGGAUAACGUAGCGAAAGUUACGCUAAUACCGCAUACGAUCUAUGGAUGAAAGGGGGGGAUCGCAAGACCUCGCGCGAUUGGAGCGGCCGAUAGCAGAUUAGGUAGUUGGUGGGGUAAAGGCUCACCAAGCCGACGAUCUGUAGCUGGUCUGAGAGGACGACCAGCCAACCUGGGACUGAGACACGGCCCAGACUCCUACGGGAGGCAGCAGUGGGGAAUUUUGGACAAUGGGCGAAAGCCUGAUCCAGCCAUGCCGCGUGCAGGAUGAAGGCCUUCGGGUUGUAAACUGCUUUUGUACGGAACGAAAAGGUUUGGCCUAAUAAGCUGAGCUCAUGACGGUACCGUAAGAAUAAGCACCGGCUAACUACGUGCCAGCAGCCGCCGUAA
RNAcentral lists this ribosomal RNA (500 nucleotides) under uncultured bacterium. RNAcentral describes it as "partial 16S ribosomal RNA". It matches the Rfam family "Bacterial small subunit ribosomal RNA", at positions 30 to 523 of the family's 1533-position model. The record is from RNAcentral.